GGGGGUAGAGCGACGGAAUUCGGCCGGGGGGCUUCCCGCCUACCCGCCGAAACCCAACUCCGAAUACCGCGUGGGCGUACUCCGGCAGUCAGAGCGCGGGGGAGAAGCUUCGUGCUCCAGAGGGAAAGAACCCAGACCGCCGACCAAGGCCCCCAAGACGACGCUCAGUGGCAAAGGAAGUGGGAUCGCGGUGACAGCCCGGAUGUUGGCUUAGAAGCAGCCACCAUUUAAAGAGUGCGUAAUAGCUCACUGGUCGAGUGACUCUGCGCCGAAAAUGUAACGGGGCUCAAGCCACGAGCCGAAGCUUCGGAUGCAUUCCUUCGGGGAUGCGUGGUAGCGGAGCGUUCCG
RNAcentral lists this ribosomal RNA (349 nucleotides) under Asterionellopsis glacialis. RNAcentral's name for it is "partial Bacterial large subunit ribosomal RNA". It matches the Rfam family "Bacterial large subunit ribosomal RNA", at positions 898 to 1243 of the family's 2925-position model. The record is from RNAcentral. Lineage: Eukaryota; Bacillariophyta; Plagiogrammaphyceae; Rhaphoneidales; Asterionellopsidaceae.